This 407-nucleotide small RNA is filed under the name Drosophila mojavensis. RNAcentral describes it as "GI26246". Lineage: Eukaryota; Metazoa; Arthropoda; Insecta; Diptera; Drosophilidae. The record is from RNAcentral.
CAGCAGCAGCAGCGGCGGCAGCGGCAGUGCCGACAGCGAGAACGGUAAACAUUUAAGCGCUUGCUGUGCGUUCGUUGCUCGGUUUGGGUUUCAGUUACGGUUUCGGUUCCACUUCCAUUCCGUUUCGUAUUGUAAGUGACGCGUCGUACUGUUUACAUGCCGUUACCGUUAUUAUCGCAGCGUUGUUGUGGAACGUGCGUGUGUUCGCGCUUCUACCACAAACAAAUAAUGUGCAUAAAAACAAGCAACAGCCAUUAAAUAUUAGCCAAAUCAAAUAAGAGAAACGUAAAAAAGUUAUCAGAAAUCAAUGCGAUAAGCGGUUAAAGCGGGAAACGCCGCAGCAACAGCAACAGCAACAACAACAACAGCAGCAGCAGUAGCAGCAGCAGCAGCAGCAGCAGUAGCUG